Molecule: ribosomal RNA, 254 nt
Filed under: uncultured bacterium
Lineage: Bacteria
Description: partial 16S ribosomal RNA
Rfam family: Bacterial small subunit ribosomal RNA
Source: RNAcentral
GACGAACCGUGCGAACGUUGUUCGGAAUUACUGGGCGUAAAGGGCUCGUAGGCGGCCAACUAAGUCGGACGUGAAAUCCCUCGGCUUAACCGGGGAACUGCGUCUGAUACUGGAUGGCUUGAGUUUGGGAGAGGGAUGCGGAAUUCCAGGUGUAGCGGUGAAAUGCGUAGAUAUCUGGAGGAACACCGGUGGCGAAGGCGGCAUCCUGGACCAACACUGACGCUGAGUGAGCGAAAGCCAGGGGAGCAAACGGG